This 497-nucleotide ribosomal RNA is filed under the name uncultured bacterium. Its description in RNAcentral is "partial 16S ribosomal RNA". It matches the Rfam family "Bacterial small subunit ribosomal RNA", at positions 28 to 507 of the family's 1533-position model. The record is from RNAcentral.
GAUGAACGCUGGCGGCGUGCCUAAUACAUGCAAGUCGAGCGAACAGAUAAGGAGCUUGCUCCUUUGACGUUAGCGGCGGACGGGUGAGUAACACGUGGGUAACCUACCUAUAAGACUGGGAUAACUUCGGGAAACCGGAGCUAAUACCGGAUAACAUUUGGAACCGCAUGGUUCUAAAGUGAAAGAUGGUUUUGCUAUCACUUAUAGAUGGACCCGCGCCGUAUUAGCUAGUUGGUAAGGUAACGGCUUACCAAGGCGACGAUACGUAGCCGACCUGAGAGGGUGAUCGGCCACACUGGAACUGAGACACGAUCCAGACUCCUACGGGAGGCAGCAGUAGGGAAUCUUCCGCAAUGGGCGAAAGCCUGACGGAGCAACGCCGCGUGAGUGAUGAAGGGGUUCGGCUCGUAAAACUCUGUUAUUAGGGAAGAACAAAUGUGUAAGUAACUGUGCACGUCUUGACGGUACCUAAUCAGAAAGCCACGGCUAACUACGUG